Non-coding RNA from Acanthosepion pharaonis, 112 nucleotides. The record is from the annotation of a GenBank genome assembly. Lineage: Eukaryota; Metazoa; Mollusca; Cephalopoda; Sepiida; Sepiidae.
UUACGGCUAUAUCAUGUUGAAACGUCGGUUAACCUAGGACCACCGAAGUUAAGCAACGUUGAGCCUGGUCAGUACCUAGAUGGGAGACCGCUUGGAAAUACCAGGUACUGUG